AGAAUCAACGCUAGCGGCGUGCCUAACACAUGCAAGUCGCACGAGAAAGGGGAGCAAUCCCUGAGUACAGUGGCGCACGGGUGAGUAACACGUGAAUCAUCUACCUCCGAGUGGGGAAUAACUGAGAGAAAUCUUAGCUAAUACCGCAUAAUACCCACGGGUCAAGGCAGUAAUGCGCUUGGAGAGGAGUUCGCGGCAGAUUAGUUAGUUGGCGGGGUAAUGGCCCACCAAGACGAUGAUCUGUAUCCGGCCUGAGAGGGCGCACGGACACACUGGAACUGAAACACGGUCCAGACUCCUACGGGAGGCAGCAGUGGGGAAUUUUGCGCAAUGGGGGAAACCCUGACGCAGCAACGCCGCGUGGAGGAUGAAGCCCCUUGGGUCGUAAACUCCUUUCGAUCGGGAAGAUAAUGACGGUACCGAUAUAAGAACGCCCGGCUAACUUCGCGCCAGCAGCCGC
This 460-nucleotide ribosomal RNA is filed under the name uncultured bacterium. RNAcentral's name for it is "SSU rRNA". It matches the Rfam family "Bacterial small subunit ribosomal RNA", at positions 26 to 518 of the family's 1533-position model. The record is from RNAcentral.